AUUUUAACCCAGAAAUAAUACACACUCUUCCCUCCUUCCCGUAUUUUUUUUUUUAUGGUGAAUAUUCAACUUCUGUAAGGUUUUUUCUUUUCUCCGCGCCUCCCGGCAUGUCAACGAAUGUCCCCUGGCAGCGGCCCGGGGGGGAAUGUGCCUGCUUUCGCCCUAAGCGACCAGGCGAACGCAUCCGUCCAUCAAAUCUUAUAGUUUGUGCUCGUCAAAAUCCGAGCUAUCCGAGAUAAAAAAAAAUGUGGCUCCUCCUUGAGUUGCCCCAACUAUCAGGUGAAGCCAAAGCAAGCUGUGGGAUGUGUCCAUCCCAACAGCUGGCGGUAGGCAUUUUUCCUCUGUUUCUUUCUUAUUACCCCCCCGCUCCUCAACCCUCUUAUCUCAGCUGUGUACAAACUGAUAUGGUACUUAGCAGGAAAGUGACUGGAAAUUAAAAUAACUUCGUUCACCAGAGGUUAUCAGCUGGAUAUCUGUCAUCAUCAGUUUGUACAGAAAGUCAUCUGCGGCAAAGGGCUGGACUAGAGCAGAGCCGGGCUCUCGGCAGCCGGCAGGCAUGAGCCCUCCCGACAGAAACCGAGCCCAAACCUGCUGAUGCGCGGUGCUGUCGCUCCUGGGUUUGGUAACAGGCUCACAUCUGGAGUGGUAGGAAAGGUCUGUCACGCCUGGACCAGAAGCCUUCAGCAUCUCAUCCUUUCUCAGCCACCAGAAACCACAGCAAAACCUCUAGUUUUCUCCUUGGUCAGCAGGGCACAGAGAAAGCAACAACCCCUAAGCUGGUUGAAACUGCUGCCUGUGCUCUGGGUUGAAGGUUUUAAACUGUUUUACUUUAAAGGUAGGGGCUUGCAUGAAUAUGCUCCAAGAUAUUUCACUCAUGGAAUUGGAGAGGGGUGUAAUUCAGCCUGAACCCAGGAUUUAUGCUGCACUCUUAUUUUAGUUCCUACUGCCUAGGAGAAUAGUUACUACUCAAAUCACAAGCUGUGUCUGUGACCUGUGCUAAGUUUGCAAAUUCAUUUGGUUUUGGUUUUGAUAGCUUCCACAGAAUUGUUGAUUAACAUUUCCUUCAGCAGGAAUUUUCCAAACAAGUUCACUUCAUUUCUCCUUGCGAGAAGUGGAAAGAAUGCAUUUUCCUUGUGCCUGCUUGGAACUAUGUGUACCUCUAAGGUCCAGAAGGUGACAUAUCUUUCACAAGUGAUUCCCCUACUAAGUGUAGAGAGGAGAAACUAAUUGUGUGCUGCAGCUACCAGAAUAUUAAAAAUACUCUGUACUGAAAUAAGUUAACUGUUGCUCAGCAUUUGGACUUGUGGAGCACAGAGCUGACUAUCCUGAGCCUAGGCAGAGAAUUGGAAAACAAACUUCUCAGCUGGAAAAGGAGCUGAACUUAAUGGUGUUGGACCAAAUGAACAGGAACAAACCUGGAAGACCUUGGCUGAAUGCUAAAUGUGAGUAUGGACUCAAACCAGCACUUUUUCCAUGUGUCAAAAAUACAGUGCUUAAUGGAUUAAAUAACUUUAUCAGUCCUCCAUUUGGAAGGCUAAAACCUGCUGUGCAAAGCUCAAGAGGUAAAUAAAAUCUGGUGAUGAAGGACUAAACUCUGAUGGGAAUUCUCCUGGAGAAAGGCCUGCUCAAGUUGACCUGUUUAAUUAAAAUGCAAUAAAAUGCAAUUUCCUUUACAUCGUUACAUGCUAAUGUCAAGCUUAGAAUCACAAAUUUGUUGAAACCUGAGCUAUAGAACUCAUCUGUGGUUACCUCUUGGUAAUAAAAAAAUGUAAAGAGAUGCUUUUACGGAAACAUGCUCAUAUUUUAAAAUAAAUUUGGUGGUCUAAAUGAAGAGUACUGAUAUUACUAAAAAGGGCAAUGACUUCAUUAAUUUUGUUGAUGUCAGCUAUUUAUUACUGGGCCAUCAAACUAUAAACUGGGGUACUUUAUUGACUGCAAUAUACACUGGAUAUGUGCCAUAUUAUUCAAGAGAAACAAUACACUGCAGAAACAAUACAGAGAAGAGGUAAUUUGUACAGAGUUCAUGAAACAAUUAUAUAAUCUAAUUACAAAACUGACUCACUAUGUCCUUGGUUCUAUUUAUUAGAAGAGAAUUGAAGGACAUACUAAACAUACUCAGAGUCUAGGAAUUUAAAUUUAAAUCCUGCCUGCACACCCAAGCAUUCAGGAACUGGUGUGAUCCAGAGCAUAGAUCGUAAUUCCCAAAAGAAGGAUGGGAUGCCUUGAUGUGGGACUCAGGAUACGACUUCAUUGUCCUGUGUGAUGGAAGUUAAACUACUGCCCCAUUUUCCUGAGAAGUGCUUUGAAACUCAGUCAAUAUCACAGAAAAACUUUUAAUAAUGUUAAUGACUCACAAAAAGAAGUGUAAUUAGUUAUUUAUUUCAAAAGGUGACAGCAGUUUGAGAUCUGCUCGUGUUUCACAUGUUUCAUUGGUACAAAGCUUCUGGAAAAAUGCAUCAGGAACAUUUGAAUGCAAGUGAAGGUGUUUCAUGUUCAAACAGAAAAAAAACACUGAGAUGCCUGAACACAAGACAUUGCCAAGGCUUUGCUCAUGUCACUCACUCACAGAGAAGAUCAUCGAAGCACAGAAAUGACCAAAGCCAAAACAAAAGUAAGUUGCUGAAUUAUUCUGUGAAUUUUCAUGUUGUAGCUGCACUGCAACUGUUUGAACUCUUUUCAGAUGUUUUUCCUUAAACUUUUAAUGCUUUUUAAGGAACAUAUAAAUAUUUCCUUUCUUCAUCAUGUAAGAAACUUUAUUAAAUAAAAUCUGGUUUUGCAUCUCUUCUGUUGUUUUUUUAAUUCUCAAUUUACUGUGCAUUUUGUAUUUGAAUAGAUUUUAAUGGGUGACAUCUAACCAUACUAUAGUAAAUUGUGGAGGAGGCUAGUAUUCAGAAUGAUUAAAAGGAGUAUUUGUUUAUAAAACAGGAAAAAACCUCAGUGUCUCUUUAUUUGUUUUUAUUAAUGACAAUCCUGGCUUGCAUGCAAUAAUUUUUUAAUGAAUGCUGUGAGAGAGACAGAAUAGCUAAUGGAGAGCCUGGGACACCUGCGUGCAGUUUUGUCUCAGGUAGGGAAGUCAUUAUUCUGCAUAUUGGAAGGUACAAUUCUGCAGCACGCUGCCCUGGUGCAAUCCUGGCUCCAGAAAUCUUUUCCCCCUGCCAGGAGGGACUCUUCUGCCUGGAGGAGUCACUCCAGUGCCAGCACAGCAAUCCACUGCCUUCUCCCAGCUGUAUUAAUGAAAUUCCUUGUGGGACCAGACUGGAAGAAAGACCAUUGAAGUGAUUACAAUUAAAAAUAGCUCUUCCUCUGCUCCUCCCACAAAGAGUUUAUUUUUAACUUCCAUCACUUCAGUGUGCUGAUUUAAGCACUGCUCUACGCAUAGUUGUUUUGGCACAGCUGAGGAGGUGACAAACUGCAGGCCAGAGGUGGGAACAAGCAUCUGGGGCAGGAGCUGGCUGCAGCAGCUUAGCUGGCAAAGGCAGUGUAUCAUAGGACUAUGGUGUGAUAGUUCACUGAAUGAACUUAAACUUUGCCUUUCCUGAGUGUUUUCAUGGUCAUGAAGGAUCUCUGCUCCAAACUCCCAGUAUAGGAGAGCCUGUCCCAUGUCUCUUUCCUCCCCCUGCCUGGCUCCUUUACAUCAGCUCAUGCCACCACCAUGAGCCGUAUCACCGAGAAAUAGAGUGUUUGUGAAGCCUCAGCUGAAUCCCCAGGCUGACACCCUUAAGGACAUGUAGAUAGCCAACUUUAAGGCAGUGGAAGGCUUAAAUGGACAGGGUCAGGAGCAGGCAUAUGGUCAGUGACAAUACCUUGGGCAUAGGACAGCAGCCACCUACCCACCCACCCACCCUCCCAGGUCUCUUCUCACUGCAGAGACCUUUUGUGUUUGGCUUUCAUGCAAACCAUCAAGCUGUGUGUGGGACUCAGGACCGAGUGAGGACUUCUGGCAGGUCAUUUGGGCCACAAUUUAGGAUUCUUCCAUCUUUUCUUAAAGCACAGGGCGUGAGUCACUUGCUGAAACCUUCUUUAUUAUCUCUCCAACUUCCUGACAUUUUACAGACCUCAGGCUAUGUUGGCCCUUUGACUUCUUCUGUCCCCUGCCUUCAGUUUUGGUCUUUUGAGGACUUGAAAGCCAUGACCUAAUUUGAAUUUUUGUUAACAGCUAUAUAAGUGAGCACUUGGGUGAACUUGCAUAGCCUUUAAGCAGCCAGGAAGUCAGAUAAUAUCUAAUCUUAUCCUUGUUAGGGUAAAGAGUGUCCCUAGCAUGCUAUUGACCAAUGCUUUCUAGAGCAGACAUCAGUGCAUCAUAUAACCUAUCCUGCAGUUCCCUAUGCUAAAAACAAUUAUCUGACUGGCUCACGUGUGAAAGCACCGCAGCAUGACAUCAUCUGGAGCACACUAACCUCGGUGGAAGAAAUACCAAUUCAACUGAGUCAGGAUUCUCCUUCAAUGCCUCAAGUAACUCACUUCACACAUCACAAUCUGAGUUUCGAGCCUCCCCCAUGUUCAUCAGAUAUUACUUUUUCUUCCAGUUUUGAAACAGACUAGGAACCUAGAUGAUUUUUUCUAAUCAUAACUGGCACUUCUGGCAAAUUUAAUAUUUCAGUGUCAAGCCCUUCAAUAAGAAGACCUUGUUGGCCUUCAGAAGCAUAAUGCUUCUCUUCUGCUCUGUGCACACUGUUUCCAUCCUCCCUGAGGUUAAGUCCCUGAGACCUUCUUGUAAUCCAAAUAAAUUUAAAACAAAAUAAAAUGACAUCACAAUGGCUCUAAAGUGGAGCUUCCACAGCACUCCACCAUAUAUUGAUUGCAUAAACAAAAUGCCACCUGAGAAGAAGAAAAUAAUCCAGCUCACAAAAGUAUGAUUUUGUGAUGGAAUGGGACAGCCCAAGCUUGGCUGGACCAUGUUGGACCACAAGGAUCUCCAAUCCUUCAAAAGCUUGUUAGAGCCUCUGUCCUUAAUUGUCUGCAGAAUUAGUCUUGAAACCAUGGUUUCAAGGUUUCAGUAGCUUUGCCUUCACUGGAGUAUUUUUCUGUUUGUCUGUGAGCCUCAGUCAUGACUCUUCUGUUCUCACUUUGCAGAGGUGAAGAAUCAAACAACCUGUACAGGGUAUAUAGAAUCCACAGACUCACUGUGGAGAGCACAAUACAUGGUAUGGAGAAGAUUUUUUAAAAAUCAUACUUUCCUAGCAGUCUUUACAUAUCCAUCUAGGUGGAAGUUAUUUCCGAGAAUACUCAUGCUACUCAUAAAGAGCCAUUAUCAAAGUCAGCCAAAAUUCCAAGGAAAAAAAAAAAGAAAAUAGAAGGGCAGGCAGGUAACUAAUCCAUUUUGAAGCUGUCAGGUUGUGACCUGAGGUAUGUUUUCACAGGAAAGACAAAAAUGAGGUUCUUUCCCUAAUGAGGAACAACACAAUUAUGUAAAGGAAGGAUAAAUGACCAACAUUUAGUUGCUGCCUGCACAGUAAACAUCCCAGAGAAGAAGACUGAUCAGAUGUAGUCACAGUGGAUGGCUACAAACUGCCAGACAGGCAGUGUUGACUGAGAGCUCCCACUACUGAGCUCCCUUUCUCGGUUGCAGCUUAUGCAAAAGACUAUAAAGGAGGAAAAGCCAUGAAAUAAUGAAGAUGAAUGCAAUAAAUAGACCUGAGCCUGUCUAGUUGUUUUAGUGGUUAAUGCCACUAGAGAAACCCUGCAGGGCUUUAAGCAAUUCUUAGUGAUGAAGAUUUAUGAAGCCCUUUUAAAAACUUCAUUAAGGGGUCAGAGAGAUUUAAGUGGCCUCACAAGCUCUGCACUAAGCCAAGAGAUUCACUUUGCAGAAAGUCAGCCAAAGGCAGUGAGGACAGAGCUGGUUUGCAAGGGCUCUUCACACAUUCUGGGAACAAUGCUGAGCACCCUGUGCAGGACAGCUUAAUGCUGAAGUCCCUAGCAGGGUUGUGGCACCUCAGAUGGUUAAAGGAAGCUGCUUAGCAAAAGUAUUUCCUCUGAAUAAUGUUCAGUCCAGUAUAGUCUGGUAAGCAAGCCAAGUCUGUAUACACUGCUCACAUAACUUUCUUAUUCCAGUUUCCCCCCUCAGAUUGUCUGAAAUAUCGUAAAGAUUUUUUAUUUUUUUUUUUAGUUGGGAUGGAUUUUCUUUCUUCAGACAACAAGUGCUGCGUGAAACUCGUCAAAUCAUAGCCCAGAAUCUUACCUUCCACACUGAUGCCUCCAAGCAGUUGUUUAGGACUGCUUAUUAUUUAGAUAUAAAUAGCAGUGCUCAUUAAUUUAGCAAUCACUCCCAGCUAUGAAAAUGCAAAUUGAGUUGGCUUAUUUGUGUUUUUGAGAAAGAGAGAAGGUGGUGGCGGUAGGUGGGAAGGGGAAUAUUCCCCAGGUGCUGCUGUUUAUCACCUUUUUGUCUCACUCUGAGCCAGGGAAUGUUUCAUCUGCACCCUGCAGAGCUUUGCUGGGCUCUGUUCCAUCACCACUGAGGUGGGUGUGCAUCACACACCCCUUGUAAAGUUGGUUCUUGGACCGACAGCUUGGGUCAACCCCAUGAAAAAAAUAAAUCCUGGACUUCUUUUUAAUAGGUAUGCAGUAGAAUAAGCUCUGGUAGCUGGCAAAGGCAGCAAACUUUGACAGAGCAAGAGAUGAAGCCUGCUUUUGUGGCUUCACAAGUAAAACUACCACUCCCUUUGGCUUGCUGGAGCUGCCUGGCCGUGGGGAAGCAGCCAUGAUGGAGCAGGCUUUCAUGAUCUGUCAUAAAAUUCAGUACAAACCAAAGCAGCACAUCUCCUCCAAAAGUUGUGUUUCAGCUUGACUGCCCACCUAAACACCCUUUGCUAGACACUUAUAACCUGAUAUUCUGUGCUUCUUACGGAUCGUGGGAGGUGCUACACAGCCUCAGUGCCUGGUGAGAAGGAGAGGAGCCAGAAGGAAAGAAGGUAAAAAGAGAAAGAGAGUAGAGCAUGAAAGAGAAAGAGAGGAGAAAGGGAGACCUGAAACAUCUGCAGUAGGAAGAGAAAUGCUGCACUGCACCCUCAAAGACUUCCCUCACCUCAUAUCCCAUCCCUGAGAGCUGCCAGCAGCAGGCGCCUAGAGAAACCUCCUCCAAAAAGGCUGGUUAUUGUCCCCAGCAUGUUAAAAACCUUGGAAUCUAAAUGCCUCCAGCAUUAAUUGAAACGAGCUCCUGAAUUUUUGCAGUACUUUGUUGGACAGAGAAUCUAAAUAAUGGAAUCAGCUUAACAACUAAUUUUCAGGAUUUUAAGGGAGCUUGUUCAUGCCAGCCCUCAUUCAGGAACACACUUUUUACAUUCACAGAGCUUAAAGCACCUGCUUUACAGCAAAUGAGAGGGAUGGGUGGAACCCCACCCUUGUGAACAGAGCUCCUCAGUUAGAUUUUUUGGCAGAAUGGCUCAGGUCUGGGGUAGCCUCUGGGAAGGCUUGUAUUUAUGAAGGAUUCCACAGGCAACUCUCCGCUUGAAAUCAAGAUGUAGCGAUACUUCCCAAAUAGUUAUCCAAUAAAUGAUUCAAUAUUAAUGAACUGCAUAAGAAAUUUUAUCUACCAUUACCUUCAUCACCCAGCUUCUCUUAGGGGCCUUUCCUCACUACCCUCAUUUGAAAGCAAUAGUUUCUGCUGUGUUCCUGCAGGUAGUAACAGAGUCAGAAGGUGUCUUCCCAUCUGCAGGAGCAAGCACAGACCCAGGAGUGAGUGGAUUACGAUUAUGGCUGGCAGGAAAGAGAAGCCUCCCUCAUGACAGUUUGUGAGUGAAACAAAAGAUAAACCAAAGAAGAAUGCAGUUCUGAGUUUCCUCGAGUCAACAGGAACUUUGCCAGCACUUGAUUUUUUAAAAUCUGGUUUCCUCAGCUAAAGUAGUCAUGCAAAAUUAGCAACCUCAAGAAGGAAAGUGCAAGUGUGUGUUAUUCCUGUUAUACCCAAAAGUGGGUUACAUUUCCCAUCAGUUCCCUCAAGCAAAACCUGCACACCUGGGAAGCACUGUAAUUUUUCUUCUUGUCUCCCUUUGAUGAGACUUCAGAAACAAGUGAGCGGCCGUGUUUGCUGCAAAUUUUCUUUUGAAUGCUGUCAUGGCUCUUACCUGUGGGCUGUCAGCCCAGUCACCUCAUCUUCCUGCAGAGAAAGGAAGGAGAGCAUUACUCUUCCCUUUCCCCUCCAUGUGGUAAGAGGCCACAGGGAGCCACUGAGUUGUGUCACUCUGGAUUGCUAUGACCAGAUUUACCAGUCAGGAGCUUUUCUUACUGGAAAGCAAAAUAUUGUGACUGCUCGUCUGCCUGUGCAUGGCUGUGUGAGGGAAAUGGGAUGGGCGGAACAGCUCCUGCCCAGCACAGUGCCACGCGUGAUUCCCCCUGCAGAAUGAAGAAAAUUGAGAGUCAUCAAAGCACAGUUUCCAAACAGACUUGGCUCUGGGGGAGCAUGGAGCAUAAGCAUGACUGAGAGCAUCUGCCAGUGGCAACCACCUCAAACUGCUGCGUGGCCCCAGGUCCCACCUGCUGCGUUGUCUGGAAUGAAAUGGAGUAUUUCAUGAAAUGAAGGGAAAAGUGAGUGAGUCUUCAGUUAAUGGACUUCAAUAAUACAAACUAGGGUGCUGCAAAGAGGAAUGGAAUAUUUUGUCUCCAUUGACAGAUGGAAGAUACGGGAUCCACCAGAGAAAACUUGAGAAUUGCCAUCACCUGUGCUCUUAAAAGGAGGUAAAACACUUUAAGUGAAGUCAAGAUGUAGUGAAAAAAGGAUUUGAUGUCCCUCUAAGAUCCUUCCCAAGAGACCCCCUCUGUGGCUCUUUAAAUGUGUGAUUAUCCGCAUCUGCCAGUGGACAGGGCAGUCACAGGGGAGAGAAGUUGCAUUCCUCAAACUAAUGAUUCAUUGAAAAUCAGCAACCUACUCCAGGAACAACCCACUAUCAAUGUUUUGCCUCAAACUUAGUCACAAAGCCAAGAGGAGUUAAAAAAGGAACAAUUGUGGCACAACAAUGAAACUCUUUCAAUCAUUAAACCCUACCAAUAAAUACUGGCGAGUGCUGGAACAAAUCUUUGUAUUUCUAGAAAUUAUUCUAGCUGUGGAAAAUAUAAACUGUGUCUUCCCUGCAGACACAGCCAAAACUAAUCAAAAUACUCCUCAUAACACAAAGGAAAUACCUCUGGGCUGCGAUAAGCACUGUGAAUGUGGCUCUUUUACGUCUCCACUAGCUAAUAACAAUAAGAUGGGCUGGUGGCACUGUUUUCAGCACGGAGAUUAAUAGCCAGGGAGAAACCGAGAAGGAGAAAGUACACUUUCAGUUUUCUUUCCGAUGGCUAAUUAAAAAGCCCAUAUCUGAAGGGAAAUGCUGUGGAAAUGAGGGCUAUUUGGAUGUGCCUUCCCCCAUCUACUAUCACUCUGCUUUGUGAGGAAUGCUUUAUUAACGCUAAUCUCAUCUCUGUGCUUUGACAGAAGUUACAGUUUCCUUCCUUUGCAGCCGCUAAGGCUCAGUUCUAUUACAGGGUUUGUUUAAUGGGAGCUUUAUUAUUUUACUAAAUUACCUCAUCUUCUGGGAACAAACUUAACCUUGAACUACGAUGCCAAAUGUCUUUUUAAUGAUGCAAGUCUGUUUGGAAAUGGUGCUUUGAUGACUCUCAAUUUUCUUCAUUCUGAAUGUUUAAUAUGUGGAAUAUAGACAAAAAAGUAAUUCUUUUCUGCCGACCUUCCUGGUCCACUAUUUAAAAUCAAUUUGCUGCAAUUAUUACGGUUAAGACUAGUGGGAACAAACAUUCUUUAUGGUCAGGCACCAGAGAGGAGCCCCUCGCAUCACUAGGGAACCCAUCUUCAGUAAAUUGGAAAAUUAUACACCACUGAUGCUAAAAUACCCCAUAUUGAAAUGUUUAAAUUCUAAGAUAACAUAAAUAUCACUCCCAUGUGCAUCUUGGGAUGCAGCCUUCUUGUGUUGCUUUGAGACUCAAAGAGAAAUUCUGAGUAACAAUGAGAAGCUACCAUUAACCCAGGUGAGACAGUGAUUUGAUCCAGAGUUUGUAGUCAGGCCAAAUGAAUGUGAUUUUCUAGUACAAUCUGUAGGAUGGUGGAUCUCUUGGAUCCCAGGGAAGCAAGGCUUUUGCUCACAGGGCAA
This is a long non-coding RNA of Motacilla alba alba, 10076 nucleotides long. RefSeq lists it as uncharacterized. The transcript has 3 exons. The record is from RefSeq and is a predicted model, not a curated record. Lineage: Eukaryota; Metazoa; Chordata; Aves; Passeriformes; Motacillidae.